RNAcentral lists this ribosomal RNA (481 nucleotides) under uncultured bacterium. RNAcentral describes it as "bacterial SSU rRNA". It matches the Rfam family "Bacterial small subunit ribosomal RNA", at positions 30 to 506 of the family's 1533-position model. The record is from RNAcentral.
AUUGAACGCUGGCGGCAUGCCUUACACAUGCAAGUCGAACGGCAGCACGGGAGCAAUCCUGGUGGCGAGUGGCGAACGGGUGAGUAAUAUAUCGGAACGUGCCCAGUCGUGGGGAUAACGUAGCGAAAGCUACGCUAAUACCGCAUACGAUCUAUGGAUGAAAGCGGGGGAUCGCAAGACCUCGCGCGAUUGGAGCGGCCGAUAUCAGAUUAGGUAGUUGGUGAGGUAAAGGCUCACCAAGCCGACGAUCUGUAGCUGGUCUGAGAGGACGACCAGCCACACUGGGACUGAGACACGGCCCAGACUCCUACGGGAGGCAGCAGUGGGGAAUUUUGGACAAUGGGCGCAAGCCUGAUCCAGCAAUGCCGCGUGCAGGAUGAAGGCCCUCGGGUUGUAAACUGCUUUUGUACGGAACGAAAGGUUUGUCUUAAUACGAUGAGCUCAUGACGGUACCGUAAGAAUAAGCACCGGCUAACUACGU